This 253-nucleotide ribosomal RNA is filed under the name uncultured bacterium. Its description in RNAcentral is "partial 16S ribosomal RNA". It matches the Rfam family "Bacterial small subunit ribosomal RNA", at positions 524 to 776 of the family's 1533-position model. The record is from RNAcentral.
UACGUAGGGUGCGAGCGUUAAUCGGAAUUACUGGGCGUAGAGCGUGCGCAGGCGGUUCGUGAUGUCUGGUGUGAAAGCCCCGGGCUUAACCUGGGAAUUGCAUUGGAAACUAGCGGGCUGGAGUGUGGCAGAGGGGGGUGGAAUUCCACGUGUAGCAGUGAAAUGCGUAGAGAUGUGGAGGAACACCGAUGGCGAAGGCAGCCCCCUGGGCUAACACUGACGCUCAUGCACGAAAGCGUGGGGAGCAAACAGG